UUUUAGUUGCAAACUGUAAGAAGAGAAGAAAGAAAAAGCACUUUUCCGUAGACGUUUUUUCAGUAAAAUUGGUUCUGCAUUAUGAAGCUUGGAUCUUCAAACUUUGAAGAAGGAAGCAAGGUUGCUAGAGCAAACUGGGUAUGUGUUUUUGUGCUGCUAACGCCAAUGAAAACAAAAAGAUCGAGUCUGUCAGAACACCGUGUGGCCACCCCAGUUGAUAGACUCAACCGAGAACGAUCAUCUACAGCUUGGAUGAGACCACAACAUGCGGAUCAUCUGGGCCGUUAAUCACGCUCUGAUCACACGGUCGUGAUUCAUCCACCAGACUUAUGUUCCUGUCUCCUUAGAAAUCAAGGACACAGUAGUACGAGCCUAUAGAACAGAUCCUGUUCAAGUAAGAUUUUGUUACCAUUUCAACAAACAGGGGCAUCUUUUCAUGAUUGGUAGAAAAGCCUUAACAUUACUUGGACUUCAAAGAUAUGGAUGAGGCAAACAUGCCAGAUUCUGGCCGAGUGAUUUUAGCUGAUGGAGUUCUUCAAGCUUGUUCAGCAACACUUGGGUGACAAUAUCGAUGAGAAGAUUCCAGAGGAAGACACUGAGUCGUCUCCUUCCCACAGAAGCUAUAUCUAGUAUAUGGGGCUGUCACAUUCAACUGAAAUUAGAUUUAAGUUUCUCUGGUGUAUAUUUGAAUUAUCAGAAUCAGAUACGUUUUUGUUGAGUUUUACUCAGUAUCAACCUUAAGUGCUAUGGUUAACAUUUUAGAAUUUACACUUGAUAUCUACUUUGUUCUUAUAUAAUAAAGGAAUGUUGGGUAGGAUUUACAUCUAUCUAGAUAACUUGUCUUAUGUACCACACAUUUAUCAUGUAACAUGCAUCUGGGAUCAUUCCUAUAUGAUUAUGAAUUAAACUAACUAUCUUUCUUAUGUAUUA
Long non-coding RNA from Lathyrus oleraceus (garden pea), 930 nucleotides. RefSeq lists it as uncharacterized. Lineage: Eukaryota; Viridiplantae; Streptophyta; Magnoliopsida; Fabales; Fabaceae. The transcript is spliced from 3 exons. The record is from RefSeq and is a predicted model, not a curated record.